RNAcentral lists this ribosomal RNA (253 nucleotides) under uncultured bacterium. RNAcentral's name for it is "partial 16S ribosomal RNA". It matches the Rfam family "Bacterial small subunit ribosomal RNA", at positions 524 to 776 of the family's 1533-position model. The record is from RNAcentral.
UACGUAGGUGGCAAGCGUUGUCCGGAUUUACUGGGCGUAAAGGGCGUGCAGGCGGUCUGUUAAGUUCAGGGUGAAAGCUCCCGGCUCAACUGGGAGAGGUCCUUGGAUACUGGCAGACUUGAGGGAGGUAGAGGAGAGUGGAAUUCCCGGUGUAGUGGUGAUAUGCGUAGAUAUCGAGAGGAACACCUGCGGCGAAGGCGGGUUGCUGGGCUGAUACUGGCGCUGAGGCGCGAAAGCCAGGGGAGCGAACGGG